AGGGCACAGCUCAGCGGUAGAGCGUGUGCUUAGCAUGCACGAGGUCCUGGGUUCAAUCCCCAGUACCUCUG
Molecule: transfer RNA, 71 nt
Filed under: Camelus bactrianus (Bactrian camel)
Lineage: Eukaryota; Metazoa; Chordata; Mammalia; Artiodactyla; Camelidae
Also listed under: 2 other names
Rfam family: tRNA
About the family: Transfer RNA (tRNA) molecules are approximately 80 nucleotides in length. Their secondary structure includes four short double-helical elements and three loops (D, anti-codon, and T loops). Further hydrogen bonds mediate the characteristic L-shaped molecular structure. tRNAs have two regions of fundamental functional importance: the anti-codon, which is responsible for specific mRNA codon recognition, and the 3' end, to which the tRNAs corresponding amino acid is attached (by aminoacyl-tRNA synthetases). tRNAs cope with the degeneracy of the genetic code in two manners: having more than one tRNA (with a specific anti-codon) for a particular amino acid; and 'wobble' base-pairing, i.e. permitting non-standard base-pairing at the 3rd anti-codon position.
Source: Rfam by way of RNAcentral